Molecule: ribosomal RNA, 253 nt
Filed under: uncultured bacterium
Lineage: Bacteria
Description: partial 16S ribosomal RNA
Rfam family: Bacterial small subunit ribosomal RNA
Source: RNAcentral
UACGUAGGGUGCGAGCGUUAAUCGGAAUUACUGGGCGUAAAGCGUGCGCAGGCGGUUUUGUAAGCCAGAUGUGAAAUCCCCGGGCUUAACCUGGGAAUGGCAUUUGGGACUGCAAGGCUGGAGUUUGGCAGAGGAGACUGGAAUUCCCGGUGUAGCAGUGAAAUGCGUAGAUAUCGGGAGGAAUACCGAUGGCGAAGGCAGCCCCCUGGGCUGACACUGACGCUCAGGCACGAAAGCGUGGGGAGCAAACAGG